Argentina anserina (silverweed cinquefoil) is the source of this 1433-nucleotide RNA transcript. RefSeq lists it as uncharacterized. The record is from RefSeq and is a predicted model, not a curated record. The transcript has 5 exons. Lineage: Eukaryota; Viridiplantae; Streptophyta; Magnoliopsida; Rosales; Rosaceae.
GGGAAACAUCUUUAUAGCAUUAUUGUUGUAUGAUAGUUCCAGACCUCGUCUUCUCUUCAUCUCCUCCGUUCCCAAAUCCAACUUCCCAUGAUGAAGAGACCCAAGCUCGAUUGAGAGUUCGAGACCCAUAAUUAUCUGUUUUCGUCUCCAUAAGCAAGCACCCAUAAUCGAUGGAAGUCGACCUCGACCUCGACCCCCAAUUCAAGCAUCCAUAAUCGAUGGAACCCAUAAUCAAUUCAUCCCCAUAAUCAUGAGACCCAUUCAAUUGAGUUAAGCUUCUUCACUGUAAUUCGAAUUUAUUUGUGUUGUUUCCAAUUCAAGCACAACUGGAAUUGUUAUUGUUUCUAAUUCAAACUCAUUGCUACCGGGUUUUGAAUGAAUCUAUUUGAGUUUCUAGUUCACUUGGGGUUCGAAUCAAUUUGAGGUUAUAACAACAUGAUUUACUUUACUAAUUCGAUUAAUUUGGGGUUUCUAAAUGAAUCAAUUUAAGUUUUUAAUACAUUUGGAGUUCGAAUCAAUUUAGAGAGGAAGUAGAGUUGGGUAGUAGUAUCUCUGAUAGUGCUGGUUCUGGUUGAAAAACACAAACUCAUUCGAGUAUUGUAUAAGCUGAUGGUGGUGAUGCGGGUGAUGGUGUUUCUGGGAUGAGUUAUUGGUUAUGCCUCUUAUGGUUUUGGUGUUGCAUUUCUUGUUACCAUUUGACUCUUCUGUCUCUUCCAUGGCUUGAUUGUGUAGACAACAAGAAUGAGAAUGAGAAAUGAAUUAGAGGUUUUGGGCAUGUGAGAGAGAAAGAGGUUUGUUUCUGUUUUCUAAUAGAACACAAGGGGAAGGUGUGAGUAGUUAUUGGCUUAUUGCAGAGAGAUAUUUUUUUGGGUUUUAGCUCCAAAAUCCAAAGGUUCUUAAUGUCUAGAACUCUAGCUAUGAAGCAGGUUUUGAUUAUGGGACAGAGCUAAAUACAUACAAGGGGACUUUCGAUUCAGACGCGUAUUAAGCAUGAAGAAUGCCAGGAAACUAAUGAAGACAUUGGCUGAGAAAGAAAUGAGGAAUCUGAAGAGGAUAAACGAUGCAAGAAUCAGAUGCCCUAUUGUACAUGACAUAAAACUUCAUGUACUUGUCAUGGAUUUCAUAGGUAAGGCAGGGUAUGCAGUACCUCUUCUGAACGAUGUUGCAUUAUCAAUAGACAAGCUGCGAGAAGGUUACAGGGAGUAAAGAAGUUGACUUGGUGGCUGCAUAACUUGUAUUCAUAGAGGCCGGAGAGUGUCACAGUGGUCCACAUAACUUGAUUUCAAUUUACAAGCUUAUUUUUAAUUUUUAUGUUAUCUUUUGCAACUUUGUUUUGUUGUUUUGUAAUUUGCUAUGCUUUCUUGACUAUUGAUGAGUUUAGUACUAUGGUUUGUAUAUUGCCAAUAUCAUCAAGAAGCAUUGAUGUUUAAUUA